Long non-coding RNA from Echinops telfairi (small Madagascar hedgehog), 666 nucleotides. RefSeq lists it as uncharacterized. The record is from RefSeq and is a predicted model, not a curated record. NCBI's taxonomy places the organism in Eukaryota, Metazoa, Chordata, Mammalia, Afrosoricida, Tenrecidae. The transcript has 2 exons.
CAGACUCCUCUGUCCUUCCCCAAAACCCAGCCUUAGCUGCCUCAUAAACAGGAAAUAGCUAUUAACUGGGAGGAGGGAGGGGAGGGGAACUGCCUGGAGGAAGUAGUUGGCCCCCUCCCUCCAGGGGGGUCUCCAGCUGCUAGCUUCUCUUCCUGGGCCGUUGUUCCCCUCCCUAGGGCUUCAGGCCCAGACUGGAUAGGGGUCCUCCUCUUCCUCGUUACUUAGUAUUGGUUGAGAAGGCUGCGUGGUUCCCUCACUCCUAUCCAGAGUCUGCACAGCUGGCUGGACAGGCUAGGGGAGGCUGAAGUGUUUCUGAGCCCCCUUCCCUCCACCUUAGAUUUUUGCCAGGGGAGCAUGAAAAGACAGGAGGAUACCUGCCGAGUCUAGAAAUUGCAGAGGGUCUGCUCGGAUAGGGACCCUAAUAUGCUUAGGAGAUGGCGGUGGUUGGGGAACUGUGAGCACUGCCACACUAACUCCACAUCUCCCCAUCCCCCACUGGAGGCUCUCCCAUUCCUACCUUGGGCGGGACCAGAAAGGGAUUAAGGCCAUCCUUGGGACAUGAGCAUUUCCUUGCCUUAGUCCACUUCUUCCUCCAUCCCCCCAGGCAGAUCUGCACUGGAGUGGAGAGUAGAUUACAUACACGGAAGGUGAAAGGAAGAGGAGGAA